This 202-nucleotide unclassified non-coding RNA is filed under the name plant metagenome. Its description in RNAcentral is "partial contains small subunit ribosomal RNA, internal transcribed spacer 1, and 5.8S ribosomal RNA". The record is from RNAcentral.
UCUCCGUUGGUGAACCAGCGGAGGGAUCAUUAUCGAGUUAUUCAACUCCCAAACCCUAUGUGAACUUACCACUUGUUGCUUCGGCGCGCGCUUCGGCGCCGCCGAGGACACUUAAACUCUUUGUUUUUAUAAGCAUUUCUGAGUGGCCGAAAGGCAAAAUACAAAUGAAUCAAAACUUUCAACAACGGAUCUCUUGGUUCUG